AACCGCUUAAUUACUAUCCAACAUCAUUCUAUCAUUCAUUAAUUUUACAAUAUUUCUGUAAAUAGUCUUUAAAUUUCUUCCAAUCUUCUUCCACCGACUCUUCUCCCUGGUCUCGGAUUCUGCCAGUCAUUUCUGCCAAUUCCAUAUAGUCCAUCACCUUCAUCUGCCAUUCUUCCAAAGUGGGUAGAUCUUGUGUCUUCCAAUACUUUGCAAUGAGUAUUCUUGCUGCUGUUGUAGCAUACAUAAAAAAGUUCUGUCCUUCUUUGGCACCAAUUGGCCGACAAUGCCCAGAAGAAAGGCCUCUGGUUUCUUCAAGAAGGUAUAUUUAAAUACCUUUUUCAGUUCAUUAUAUAUCAUUUCCCAGAAAGCCUUAAUCCUUGGGCACGUCCACCAAAGGUGAAAGAAUGUACCUUCAGUUUCUUUACAUUUCCAGCAUUUAUUGUCGGGCAAAUGAUAGAUUUUUGCAAGCUUGACUGGGGUCAUGUACCACCUGUAUAUCAUUUUCAUAAUAUUCUCUCUUAGGGCAUUACAUGCCGUAAACUUCAUACCUGUGGUCCAUAACUGUUCCCAGUCAGCAAACAUAAUAUUAUGUCCAACAUCUUGUGCCCAUUUAAUCAUAGCAGAUUUCACCGUUUCAUCCUGAGUAUUCCAUUUCAACAGCAAGUUAUACAUUCUUGACAAAUUCUUAGUUUUGGGUUCUAACAGUUCUGUUUCUAGUUUUGAUUUUUCCACCUGGAAGCCAAUUUUCUU
RNAcentral lists this long non-coding RNA (750 nucleotides) under Podarcis lilfordi (Lilford's wall lizard). Lineage: Eukaryota; Metazoa; Chordata; Lepidosauria; Squamata; Lacertidae. The record is from RNAcentral.